AUGAAUUUCAGGGUUUCCAGUGUGGUUGGAUGUAUUGAUUACACACUUUCCAGCAUCGCACCUUCCGAAAAUGAAGCUGAUUACUGUAUGGAAUGGAAGGAUGCCAGAUGGAAGGGUAGUGCAAGAUAUAUGCCGCAAGCACCACCACAGCUGUUAAAUAAACACAAAUUAUUGACAGUUUAUUUGGUCAUCUUUAUGUUCAACAAAUACAAAAGCAACAAAUUAUUUUUUUUUUCCCUGUUGGAUUUUAAUAUUGGUAUUGUGGCCAUCUCCUCUUCAUCUCUCAGUGAUGCUGGUGCAGGUUCUCCUCCCAUUUGACAAGUCUCUGCCUUCUUGCUGUUAGAAGUCGAACGUUUUUCAUUACCCUAAUUAAGAAAUGUAGCAUGUUGGAUUAGACUAUGUGGAAAAAGCUGCUGAUACACACUGAAUGAUAUUUAUUGCAUGACAAAUAUUUGUAAAGUCAUGUAACGUUAACCUACACCCCAUUCACGCUUGAAUAUUUACCUGAUAUUCCGUAGUAUGCGGCAGUCUUUGUGGUGGGAGCUGUUGCCAUGGUGAAUCAUAAUUUCAGAGCUCCAUUGAUCAUAGCUUUUCAUAGUCGUGGUGCAUGCGCUAAACUAAGAGUCAACCUACUUGGAAUGAAUUGAACUAACGAUGUUCAGCUGUUCUGAAACCGAAAACUCAGAGUUUCCAAUCUCAGGGUAAGUCAACUCAGAGUGUGUUGAACCUCCUUUCUGGAAUACACCCCAGAAGUUUAAGUGUGAAGUAUUAAAUUUAUACAAUGUGUAAAUAAAGCUCUGUAAAAAAACUACUUAAGUCUUUAGGAAUGUUGUAAUUGUGUUCCACAGAAUAAUCAAAAGUUCUGCAUGCAUUUGUGCUCUUCAUGCACACUUGAACACUUGGGCCAAACACAGAAAAUACAUCAUGUGUUUAUCAAUAUUACAAGAGGUAGAGUGUUGUUUUCCUGAAUAUCAGCAUUACAAAUGUGAUUUUAUGCUAUUUUAAAAAGUUAAUAUUACACGACUUGCAUAUUGGACACCGUAUUAUUAAUGUUGGGAUCCUUCAGAGGCAUAAGUAUUUGUAACUCAUUUUAAGGGGCUUCAGCUCUCAUUAACAUUCAGCCAAAAUAGAGGUUGUAUUUAAAUUUUAGGAUAGUUUCACUUCAACUUUUUCAUACUCCUUCCCGCAAAUACAUUAAAAGUACUAACAGUGUAAAAUUUGUGUAAAUUUUUUUGUGUGGACACAAUCACCCUACAAUGAUAAAAAUAAAUUUGCUCCUUUUUAUUAAAGGAACAUGCCACUUUUUUUGAAAAUAGGCUAAUUUUCCAUCUCCCCUAGAGUUAAACAGUUGAGUUUUACCAUUUUUGAAAUCCAAUCAGCCGAUCUUCGGAUCUGGCGGUAGCACUUUUAGCUGCAGCUUAGCAUAGAUCAGGGGUAGGCAACGUCGGUCCUGGAGUACUGAUGUCCUGCAGAGUUUAGCUCCAACCCUGAAAAAAAACCUCACUUGUCUGUAGCCUUAGUAAUCCUGACUACCUUAAUUAGCUUGUUCAGGUGUUUGAUUAGGGUUAAAGCUAAACUCUGCAGGACAGUGGCACUCCAGGACCGAUGUUGCCUAUCCCUGGUAUGUUUUGAUAUUUUUCCUAUUUAAAACUUGACUCUUCUGUAGUUACAUCGUGAACUAAGACCAAUGGAAAAUGAAAAGUUGUGAUUUUCUAGGCCGAUACGGCUAGGAACUAUACUCUCAUUCCGGCGUAAAAGUCAAUGAACUUUGCUACCAUACCAUGGGUGCAGCAGGCGUAAUAAUAUUGCAUAGCGCCUGAAAAUAGGCUAACUUCCGUCAACAUAACCAACGUGACCACCAGCUUGCACAGGGAAUGUGCCUUGCAACCAUGGAAACAUUUGUGAGAGACUAUUCAGAAGAUAUUUACUUUGGUGGACAUCCUGAACCGUAUCUAUUUGAACCAGAAUACACUGAAGAUGAGCUUUUGGAACGUGAAAGGCGAAAAAAAAGUGGGGCUGAACAGACUGGGGCAGAAGGGAGGAGGAGAGCAAAUUCGAACUGGUGGUGCAUGUGUGGGGCUUGCCAACCCAUGCCGACCGAAAGUGGGUGCCUGUGUUGUAGUGAGUAGGACCAGGUCUUGCCAUCGAUGGCAAGGGUCGAUCUAACUGAUGAGGAAGUGGCAUGUGUUGCAACAUCCGAGGACUUCUUAGUAAUGCUGCAUCCUGCAGUGGUCGAUUAUUAUUUUUUUUUUCGAUUUGACAAAAUAAACUGAAAAACAUCCCAUGCCGAGUGGACCUGACGGCCAGCUAUCGCUAGAGUAAGUGAUUCCUGCGAUCAUUACAAUGCAUGACUCAAAGAUUUACAGUGUGUGACAGGAUUAGCGAAGCCCGUCCUGUUGGAUUGGAUUGGUUGCUAUACGCAUUGAUUAUCUUAUCACUGCGCAGUGAUUACAUAUAAAUUUAGCGGUGAGGUGGUAUGACAUCAUGAGACACGCCCCUUGUUUGCUGCGUCAUUUCUAGUUGCCGGUCAGGUAUGUUUAGUGAUGUUGGCUGAGUGUUACUAGUGUGCUGUGUUUCAUGUUAGUAUUCUUGUUUAGAGCAUAGAUUUGGAUAAACCUUGCGGCUGGUGCUUGGUUAACGUGGUCUCUCUCAACCGGUAAGUGAAACUACUGAAUGCAUUUUAUUAGUGCAAGCUUGAGUUUGUGAUGAUCCAAUUUGUUUGUAGUCUAAAGCAAGCGGGAGAGAGACUGUAAUAGCCCAGACGUUCUGCCUUACGCUACAUAGUAGUUUUGCCCCAUUGUGUGCUGUAUUGCCGACCGAGUGAGCCCACGGGUGCACAGAAUGUUGCGUACCUGAUCGGUCGGGCUUUGAGAGAGCACACGGAUACGGUAUGUGUUUUGUUUAAUCUCGUCUUUCUUUCCAAAGAGCAGGUUAUAUUGUAUUGUUAAUUGCAUUAUAGAUUAUCACGAAUCGGCAGUGCCUUGUCCCCCUUGUGCACGUAUUUAAUCCAGAUCGACAGAAUGAGCUCACAGCUUUCGGCUUGGCUGUGCAUUUAACAAGUAUUACGUUCUGGACAUUUGACUCAGGCGGUAUGUUUUUAAAGCUAUAAUACACUGAUUCAUUUGCUAUUUGAUUUAUUUAUAAUUUAAUUUCAUUACAGGUAGACUUGUUGCGUCUGCGGGCGAUUUUAACUCCUUACUGUGGGGGCUUCGUGGGAAGUAUCGUCCAGAGGCGCUGCUUGCUUUGCCGGUCCUCUAAUAUUAUUGUUGCGUUCCCUUGUGUUUUGUUCUUUUGUUAUUUGAGAAAUGUUUGUAAAAUGGUUGUUUAUUUUCUUUGUUCUGUUUAAUGUUUUCUUUUGAUUGAUUUAUUGUUUGGUAUUUUCUUUAACACUCUUUAUUGUAUUCCGAGUUAUUUUGUGUAUACGAGAGUGUUUACGUUCCUCUUAUUUUUGCUUUUGUGGUUUUAUGUGAUAGCUAAGAGCUUAAGGUGCCCCAAUAUUUAUUUGCUGUAUGCAUCGUUUGCGAUUUAUAUCAGUGAUUUGUCUACCCUCAAGUGUAACAUACCAUCUUGUUGUUACAGGAGCUGAGUGCAGAAGGCGGGGUGGAUUUUGGUGGUGGUGCUACUUCACGAGUGCAGUGUGGAGUGUGUGUGUGUGUGUGUAUGUGAGUGUUUCCACACAGAUGUAACGAAAGUGUGCGGUGCUGUGGAGGCCUAUUAGUGUCCUUAUUCCCAGCUGUUACGCCUCGGCUCCUGCAUCCCCUUCAUACAGUUUUGUUGAGGGUAUUGGCCACCCAUAUCACAUUCAUUGAGCUAUUUAUUCUUUUUUUUUUUUUCUUUUUUGUGAUUUGAUUUGUUGCAUUAAAUUUUAUUUUUAAUAAAAUUUUAUAAUUGUUUCACCCACGUCUUCUGCCAAUUUAUUGCACACGAACCUGUGUUGCCUACGGGCAAGGUAUUAUCUCUGGCUCCGUGCCAGGGUGGCGUAGUCGCUCCAUCUAUUCUGACAACCCUCUGUGUCCUGCCACAUUCUGGCGUAGUCGGCAGGAUUGUGCUCAUUUGGGUGAAGACGUGGGUAUUUAGUAGUGUUUGUGUUUUUGUUUGUUUUUUUUUUGUUAAGGUGAUUUGUGAGUAUUGUUUCUGUGUUGUGUUCUAUAGUUUUUUUUUUUUUUUUAGGCAAAGCGACAGCGUCUGCUGGAUUGUGGUGAGCCGCGUUCCCCAUUUUGGUAACAUUAUUCUUCCUGGUA
Cyprinus carpio carpio is the source of this 4241-nucleotide long non-coding RNA. NCBI's taxonomy places the organism in Eukaryota, Metazoa, Chordata, Actinopteri, Cypriniformes, Cyprinidae. The record is from Ensembl.